Molecule: ribosomal RNA, 465 nt
Filed under: Vreelandella stevensii
Lineage: Bacteria; Pseudomonadati; Pseudomonadota; Gammaproteobacteria; Oceanospirillales; Halomonadaceae
Description: partial 16S ribosomal RNA
Rfam family: Bacterial small subunit ribosomal RNA
Source: RNAcentral
CCUACGGGGGGCAGCAGUGGGGAAUAUUGGACAAUGGGGGGAACCCUGAUCCAGCCAUGCCGCGUGUGUGAAGAAGGCCCUCGGGUUGUAAAGCACUUUCAGUGAGGAAGAACGCCUGGUGGUUAAUACCCAUCAGGAAAGACAUCACUCACAGAAGAAGCACCGGCUAACUCCGUGCCAGCAGCCGCGGUAAUACGGAGGGUGCGAGCGUUAAUCGGAAUUACUGGGCGUAAAGCGCGCGUAGGUGGCUUGAUAAGCCGGUUGUGAAAGCCCCGGGCUCAACCUGGGAACGGCAUCCGGAACUGUCAAGCUAGAGUGCAGGAGAGGAAGGUAGAAGUCCCGGUGUAGCGGUGAAAUGCGUAGAGAUCGGGAGGAAUACCAGUGGCGAAGGCGGCCUUCUGGACUGACACUGACACUGAGGUGCGAAAGCGUGGGUAGCAAACAGGAUUAGAUACCCGUGUAGUC